AGUCGAGCGGGGAAGGUAGCUUGCUACUGGACCUAGCGGCGGACGGGUGAGUAAUGCUUAGGAAUCUGCCUAUUAGUGGGGGACAACAUUCCGAAAGGAAUGCUAAUACCGCAUACGUCCUACGGGGGAAAGCAGGGGAUCUUCGGACCUUGCGCUAAUAGAUGAGCCUAAGUCGGAUUAGCUAGUUGGUGGGGUAAAGGCCUACCAAGGCGACGAUCUGUAGCGGGUCUGAGAGGAUGAUCCGCCACACUGGGACUGAGACACGGCCCAGACUCCUACGGGAGGCAGCAGUGGGGAAUAUUGGACAAUGGGCGGAAGCCUGAUCCAGCCAUGCCGCGUGUGUGAAGAAGGCCUUUUGGUUGUAAAGCACUUUAAGCGAGGAGGAGGCUCCUUUAGUUAAUACCUAAAGUGAGUGGACGUUACUCGCAGAAUAAGCACCGGCUAACUCUGUGCCAGCAGCCGCGGUAAUACAGAGGGUGCGAGCGUUAAUCGGAUUUACUGGGCGUAAAGCGUGCGUAGGCGGCUUUUUAAGUCGGAUGUGAAAUCCCUGAGCUUAACUUAGGAAUUGCAUUCGAUACUGGAAAGCUAGAGUAUGGGAGAGGAUGGUAGAAUUCCAGGUGUAGCGGUGAAAUGCGUAGAGAUCUGGAGGAAUACCGAUGGCGAACGCAGCCAUCUGGCCUAAUACUGACGCUGAGGUACG
Molecule: ribosomal RNA, 700 nt
Filed under: uncultured bacterium
Lineage: Bacteria
Description: bacterial SSU rRNA
Rfam family: Bacterial small subunit ribosomal RNA
Source: RNAcentral